Molecule: long non-coding RNA, 769 nt
Organism: Triticum aestivum (bread wheat)
Lineage: Eukaryota; Viridiplantae; Streptophyta; Magnoliopsida; Poales; Poaceae
Exons: 3
Source: RefSeq, a predicted model, not a curated record
CCGCGUCGACACCUCCCUCUCGCCCACGUCGACACCUCCCUCUCGGCCGCUUCGCAGCCUCCCUUCUCCUCUUGUCGCCGCCUCUCCCUCUCCUCGCCCGCGUUGUCUAGCCAAAAUUGUUUUUUUAGUGAGGUCAGGAUGAGCGGGAGGAGCGCGUUCGUCCCCCGCGCCGACGUCAGCGUCGAGGAAUAAGCAGGUGGAGGGCAUGGCGGAGCGCCGCCGCCGCAAGCACCUCAAUGACCUUCGCUCCGUCUUACUCCAAGAUCUAGAAGGUCACACAUUGCCGCCAAUGGAGCAGAGCAAAAGGAGGAGGGCGACACCCAGGGAGAGGGGCGGUAGGAACACGAGCGAGCGGCUGUUUUAGAUGAGGAGGAGCGGAGGCAGCGAUGACAUGGUGCAGGCGACCUUCCAUCUGUUGCUGACCAGUGGAGGAGGAGCAGGAGGACGUCGGCGCCGUCAGAAUGUGGAGAACAAUCAAUUUGCAGGAUCAAUCCCAGAGAAGAUGCUCAGCGUCCCUAAAUUAGUGCAGAAGACAGGACAACCACGUAACCAUUCAAUUUCUGCAUAAGAAAGGACAACCAUUUAACCAUUCUGAUCCACGGUUCCUCUCCGACGACAGUGAGUUGCUGUUUGUACUCCAUGUUCUUUUGCUUGUACUGCUAGUGGUUAUGCUUGUGCUGCUAUAUCUUCUGGUGCUGCUAGAUUAAUAUGAGUAGGAGUAGAGUACAUGCAGUAGUUAGAGUGCUUGCUCAGAGUAGGAUUUUUGUUA